AACAUGGAGAUGGCGAUGCAGGAUAUGUAUGAUUAAUAUACAUCAAAGUGCUACAGCUGGGAAAUUGGACCUGAGAAAUGCUUAGCAGAAAAUACAAAAGACAUACCAAGGAUUCGUGGAGGCUGGGCCAUAUAGGAUGUUUUUUAUGUGAGUACUGGGUGGUGCCUUUGUGCUUGUAUUGUGCAAGUUACUAGUACCUUAACUGCAGCAGGUGCUGGUGCCUAAUUUGGGCUAUGCUCUGUUCGAUUAGUGCUCUGUUCUAUGCUACCCCUACUGCAGCUGCUAGAACAAUGGUAUGAUUCUGUGUUCUCUGAUCCUUGGAUAUACUGUGUGCUGCUGCUAGUAAUGCUAAGAAAUUACCAAGUGACUUAUUGCAUACCAACUUUGAGUUUCAGGAACUUCAAAGAGGUGCUAGGCAGGAUCUUGUCAAUAACAAGUGGAUCAAAUUGCUGAUCCAGUUAUUGAUUUGUUCUGAACUACCUGCAUGCCUUUAUCAUUUUGGAGGCAAACAAUCCAUAUAUGUCUACCUGCAGUAUAAUUAGGACAUGUAGAAUUUGAUGUUAUAUAUGAGCCUAGCUCCGAAUGUUAGCUACACUAUUGUUAUGACGUAUGAACCUACAUGAAUGAAUGAAAGUUUGUCUUUGUUAA
This is a long non-coding RNA of Setaria italica (foxtail millet), 648 nucleotides long. RefSeq lists it as uncharacterized. The transcript has 3 exons. The record is from RefSeq and is a predicted model, not a curated record. NCBI's taxonomy places the organism in Eukaryota, Viridiplantae, Streptophyta, Magnoliopsida, Poales, Poaceae.